Molecule: ribosomal RNA, 253 nt
Filed under: uncultured bacterium
Lineage: Bacteria
Description: partial 16S ribosomal RNA
Rfam family: Bacterial small subunit ribosomal RNA
Source: RNAcentral
UACGUAUGGAGCAAGCGUUAUCCGGAUUUACUGGGUGUAAAGGGAGCGCAGGCGGCUUUGCAAGUCUGAUGUGAAAGGCCGGGGCUCAACCCCGGGACUGCAUUGGAAACUGUAAAGCUAGAGUGCCGGAGAGGUAAGCGGAAUUCCUAGUGUAGCGGUGAAAUGCGUAGAUAUUAGGAGGAACACCAGUGGCGAAGGCGGCUUACUGGACGGCAACUGACGCCGAGGCUCGAAAGCGUGGGGAGCAAACAGG